Long non-coding RNA from Wyeomyia smithii (pitcher-plant mosquito), 17212 nucleotides. RefSeq lists it as uncharacterized. The transcript is spliced from 6 exons. The record is from RefSeq and is a predicted model, not a curated record. Lineage: Eukaryota; Metazoa; Arthropoda; Insecta; Diptera; Culicidae.
CUGUCCACGUGGAACGUGGACGGCCCCUUAUCCCUUUAUCCCCUUAUACCUUAUCCGUAUCACUUUAAAAAAUCGAUAUAAUUUCGCACAAAAAUGCAUUUUACCAAAUUAUUAAGUUAAAUUUAAUUUUCUACAAAAGCUGGGUCUUUAAUGUAUGCCUGAAACAAUAAUAUAUUUCCGAUAAUUACUGGCCUUUCGGUAGUUUCGUACCAUAUUAACACACACAACCUUGCAAUAUGGCUGACAAAAAAUUUAUCGCAUCCAAUAUUUUUGUAAAAAAAAUAUUCAACUCACAAUCUCACUGAAAUGAAUGGCCUGCAACGACAACGGUUUUGAAACAAAAGUUUUAGUAGUUAUGAUUAACUGUCGCACAGCUAUUAAAGCUUUACUGUUAAGUUCAGUACGGACGAGUGAUUUAAAAAAAAGGCAAAUGCAAAAUUAUGCAAAAAACAUUAUUUCAUCAAAAUGUAGAAUAUAAUGUAUAAGUUUCAAAUGUAUUUUGGAUAAAAACAUUAUAAAAUUGAAGUGUCCAAAGAAGCCUUGCAUAUAAAAAAAGCCCCGCACAACGGUACAUGUUUUAUUGACAUACUGUCUUCACAAUAUAUUUAAUACAAAAAGACUCAAAAAAUGAUAACAAGUUUUAGUGCGGAACUGUGCCGAUAGUGGUUUUCAGUCUCACACUUUUGAGAAAAGUUGUCUUAAGCGAAGCUGUACAUAAUGUUGUCUCAAAAAAAACUAUGCCGAAAACAAUCGUCUGCUUAUUUCUCUGUUGUUGAAGAUACAUUCAUCAUAUAUUUGUAUAUCAUAGAAACACGGAACUUUAGAAAAGACACAACAACAUAGCUUCUGCACAGACAAAACAUCUUCUUUUAGAGACAAACAAACGGUUUCUAAUUGAAGAUGUUUUGUUCAUGUGAAUAUGUUAGUCCGUUAGCGUUUCACAUAAACACCAAGAUAACGCGAUAAAAAUUUCAACAGCUACAUCAGGUUACCAUUUUAGAAUUUUUCAGGAAACUGAUCAUAAAGUUUUUAGUUUAAUUUUGAAACUGAUAUCCGCCUCAUGAGUAACAAAUGCUGAGCAGCUAAAGUUUUCAACAGGUUUGUACGGUACCGCAGUCGUCCGCUCUCUGAUUACUGAUAAUUCAUGCUCGUAAAUCAUGGGUGGAGGAAUCCGCUUAUUUAUUAUAUAAUGGUUGAGUUUGAGAAUUUCUAUUGCUGAAGUUUUCUGUUUUCGUAGAUCGUUUUACAUUUUUGACAUUCCAAGGCAACGAGUCAUUUUCUGUUGGAUGGACCAAUCGCAUACGAUCUUUUUCUUACCGUGAUGGUUAUAAUCAUUAGAUUAGGUAAGGUAAGGUAAAGAAUUAGGCAGUAGCGUGCAUUUAUCGCGCGAAAGUUGUUAUAGUAGAUUUAGAAUAACCAUAAAAAAUACACAAAAAAAACGCUAAGUUUACAUAUCUGAUUUAUAUAAAUUUUUUAACAAACUGUAAAGCGGAUAUCAUGUGAUAUCCAACCCGGUGGCAUCACUGACGUUUACGUACAAAACAAGUGGAGCCAGCAUUAGCUGGAUCACUGGAUCAAUUUUACAUGCAAUUUGACAGCUGAUUCAUCGAAACAAGAACAAAAGCAUUGUUCAUACGUGCACACAGUGUCGGUGUUCAGUGGCAGUGUACUUACGUGAUGUUUUCGCAUGAUAUAUUUAUUGCACAUAACGUGAGUGCUUUACUUGAUGAAACAAAAAAAAAAAAAAGGCGUUGCAUUGUUAUAGAAUGUACACAACGUUUGUUCUUGCCGUUUGCGAAUGGCGGUGUUUCUUGCAGUUAGCUGGCAAACAUGCGAUGACUUAAGGAAUACGAUCUCAAUGUAUGUGUAAAAGAGAAAGCGUAUCAAUGCUAGUUUUAAACAUUUACAAAGCCAAGCCAAGCUAUUUUUUAAUAUUUAAAAUGAUUCAAGCGCAUAACUCUGUACAACAUAUAUUAUGCUUCGCUCGUCACGCUUACUCUGCUGUGUGAACAAACCUUCAAAAACAUAAAUGAGACUAGCGCCACUGUCUUUCACGGCAGCUUCAGGAAGCAAGGCCGAUGCCACCGCACAGUGGGGAAUCGCUGGCCAUCAGCCAAAAAAUUUUUUUUUCGUUAGCUGUAUCAUAUUGUUUUUCCUUUAUUGCUUUAACAUUCAAGUGUCUUAAUCCAAAAUUUGAGCGCAAUAUCAUGAAAUCUGAAUGUUUUAUGACUUUUCAAAGCUUAGCGAACUGACGUUUUUUGUCUUUUUUUACGAAAAAAGUACAUUACUUUGAAACGCUCUGUAGCUUCAAUGAUAGCUUGGAUUUUUUUGACGUCAAUGGAAAAGUUGUUGUAAAUAUUGUGCAAAACAAACCCUUUUCAUUAGAUAUUGUAAAAUUUGGUUAUAGUAGGCCUGACACUAAGAAAAAUUAAAAAAAAAACGUGAUUUUUUGUAGAAAAGUAGCAUAAAAGUUUAGUUGCCGCAGUUUGCCACGGUUGUGACUACAUUCAAAAUUUAGGUAAAAACGUAAGCUUUCAAAUGCAUACUGUCCGCUGUAGCGCAAAACUGCGCAAAUUGUCACUUUAGUGAAAAAAGCGAUAGCAGAUUUUUUUAGUUUUUGUGUUUUGAAGUUGAAAUUUCAUCCAGGAUUAAUUUCAAUCAUAACCAUGAUACUCCAUUAAUGAAAAUUUAUGAUAUCGUACUCAAUCCGUAAGGAUAAAAUAUAAAUUUGGGCAAAAAUCACAAAAUUUAUCAAUGAAAGUUAUAAAAUAAGUGCUAAACAAGAAAACAGUAAACAAAUCUAUGAAAUUUUAAUUAUGUCAAACUUUAUCACUUUCUGCACAUUUAAAACAAUAUUAAAAACAUUCAGCCCUGUUCAAUUUAUGAACAUCAAAUUCGCUAAACUGAUUGAAGUGUCAAAUGCUAGCAGCAAAUCCAUACCAUCAAACUCCGGCUAACAAUAGCUCGUUUGAAGAUUGCUUUUGCUUCGCACUUGUUUGCAUACAAAAGUAGAGCACAUAUUUUGCGUUAUGAGAAAAAAACAAAGAACAAUCGUCGCCCUCCGCAUUUUUUCGUAUUCAUUUAGAACGUUGUGUCAUUCCAGUGUCUUGGUUUUCGAAUUCAUAAAUUUGAUGAAUUUUAUUAUGGAGCCUUUCAACUUCAGCGGCACCACCUAUUUCAAUGUCUAGUAAGUUGUCAAUUCAUGGUGUUAUACAUGUAUUUGAAUGUCCUCUUUCAACCAUAGAAACCGGAUUAGGAAGAUAACAUAUAUAUGAAACAAUGAAACGUCGAAAAUCACUAGAAGAAAUGAAAAUUGCAGCGAAAGACAUUUUUUCUGCUGAUAAGUUUAAUGAACUACAAAUUUUCUGGAAACAAUUCAACACAAGAUUUAAGCGAUCACAGCGGAAGAUGAUGAUGUUGAUGAUGAUGAUGACUUUUUCAAUUUGUAAAUAGUUUGUAUUACUUAUGUUGUUUUAGUUUAUUUAAAAAAUAUAUAUAUUUUGGCAAAAUUUGUUAUGUUCGAAGGGUCGUCCAUAAAUUACGUAUUUUUUUAAUGGGGAGGACGCCUGGUGGCACUACUUGUGGUCAAAGAUCAUACAAUUUUAUAAAAAAGGAAAAAAGUUCCAAAAAAUAUUAAAAAUUGGGUUUCGUACUUUAUAAACGGCCCCAAACAAAAAAUGGAUACCAAAUUCGUAUUCAGCGCCCCAAAAUUAUGUAAAUACCAAGUUUUUGUCGCAUUUAUCGAGACUUCUUUUGCUUGGCCAGCCUUUGUAUGGAGUCACCCCACUGUGCACCGGGUUGGUGAUAUCGCGUUUCUUGAUGUCAAUAUCUAAACAUCUAGUUGAAUGAGAAACUUGGUGUAUCAUGUAUGGUAUCAAGAUUGACGAUAUCACAUGAUAUCCGCUGUAGUGUGAACGAAUUAUAUGAUAAGUUAUGUACUGCCCAUACUUGAAGAGGGGGAAUGGUUUUGUUGCUAAAAACGCUUUGAACGUCCACAACAGCUUUUUUAAUGUAUUCUGCAGCUGAGUUCCAUCCGGCAAGUAUUUCAAACGCAAAAGUCGUUUUCUCCAACUAUAAGUACAAAGAAAGUGCUAAUGUGCAUACUUUGAGAAUAAUUUCGUGCUCAGCUUGUGAUUAAAAUGACUUCAAACUAUUUGAAGCAGUAUGGAAUAACAAGUAAGGAUGAGCACGACGAUAAGAUCUUUUAUGACCAUUUCAACUGUAAUUUGAAUAACUAUGACAAUAACAAUUACAUUAAUAAUUCAUAAUGGACUUCAAGUUCACUUUUUGUUAUCUCUCAUCAAAUCCUAAAAAAAAUCUGAAUGGUCACAUUUAUAUUAUCUUAUAAUCAAAUAGCUGAGUAGCAUGUCUAAGAAUGUAAAUAUUCAUAACAAAAGGAAACAGUCACUAGUUCUGAUCAUAGAAUCAUCAACAUAAGCUUGGCGGUCCGAAAAAAAAUCUUGUCGCAGCAAAAAAGUUGUCGUAAAAAAAGCAAAAUUCGAUGCAAGAACCUUCCGAUCGCCCACCUGACGCCCGUAACCCCCAGGCCACAACACACUGGUUGGUGUACAUGCGGGUAGAAAAUAUCUUGAAUAUUAGCAAAGAUGAAAAAGAACAAGAUACAAAAGUGUCCGAUCUUCUCAUAUACUUUGCGAACGUCAAGUAAUGAGGCGCCCUCGAACGACUCCCAGAAGCAUUAGUGGUGAAUGUGUGCUGUCUGUGGAAUACGAGCCUGACAAUAACAACAACUCUUAAGCCUGUAUUACACUCUUUGACCAAUCGUCAAAUAUUUGGCACUUUUUGACAGAUAAAAAUUUGGUCAAAGAUAAUUGUUUGUCACUAUCCAAUUUUAACAUGGGUCAAACACGGGCAAACAACAACCAUGAUGUCAAAUAAAUUUGACCAUUAUGUUAGAAGGUCAAAUAUUUGACCAUUAGACAAAGAGUGUACUACAGGCUUUAGAUAUUAGCCAACUUCUCAAUUAUUAUGGUUAUUAUCAUAAAUCGUGUCUCUACACAUGUAUUUUUACCCGCAUGUACUGCCUCUACACAUGUAUUUUUUUUUGCAAACGGCUUCUAUAAAAACGAUGUUUACUAUCACGAGAAACUGUUUUCUCAUUUUUAAUAAAAAUGGCAUAUUACACCAUUUUUUAAUCAUGGAUAGUGUAGGUAUCAAUGUCCUAAACUUUUGCAUCACUGGGAUCGACAGAAUGCUCGCAGUCGAGAAUUAUAAAAACUAGAGCACUGAGAUGAUUAAAAUUAAGUUAACUCCAUCCCGGCGAAAAGGAAUCAGUUUUUACCUCCUAAAACAAACUUCAAACUCUCAUUAGGGGUACUCAUCAACUAUACGCACAAUUGAAACAAACUGUAUUGCAUAUUAAAGAUCAUUCAUAAAAAACAACGAAAAAUACUGGCAUAAAGAGGAGAGCGCAUACAUUUACUCUCAUUCCUCUCUGAGCGUGCUUGUAUCAAAAAUUCAAACUUUUUAGUUGUCACUCGUUAUUAUUUUAGUUGUCUCCCGUUAUUAUACAAAUUCGCGCACAAAAUGGGUACUUUACGGUUUCUGGGCAUAGGAUGGCUGGUAGCUAGACCUGUGCGCCGACCAUAUUAUCGGCGGCGGCGGCGUAGAAAACAUUUUACCUCGGCGGCGAUCGGCGCGCCGGCGGGACGCCGUUGAAUUUUAUCGACGGCGGCGGCGACGGCGUGUAUCGGCGUGACACUAAUUACCACUUAUAAAAUAUUGCGCAUAAUGUGUGCUUUUGUACUCUCAUGUUCGGAUUUUUUUUUAUUUGAACGUUCAUAAAUAAAAAUGUAUGCUUCAGGGUUGUAAGAAUAGGAAUAGGAAUAAAAAUGAAAAGAUAUCAAGUAAACAAACAAUUGAAUAACUAGAAAAUAUCAAACCAAGCAGAGAAAGUAAAAACAAGUGUAAAUCCCAAAAAAAUCAUCAACGAGCCCACAAUGAAAAAAAUACAUGGAAUACUGUUCCCAGAAACGUUCAGUUUAGGAAAAAAGAUAGAUAAUUUUUUGAUAUGCUCAUUUUAAUAACCGUAGACCUACUUUGAGAAAUUUCUAUAUAUCUUACGUUAGAGAGUCGUUUUCAACUUUCAUAUAUUUUGUUAGGUUACCCAUGGAAAAAUUAAAAAAAAAAAGGGAAAUUCUUUUCAAUCGAAUAGAGUUCUUCGAUACACACCACAGAUUCUUUAUUUUCUAUUGCGACUUUUGGAAUAAAACUUACCAGAGGUGAAGCAUAAAGUCCUCCCUUCUCACGUAAUUGUGAUUGUGACGCGGUGUUGAUAGGAGGAACGAGGUUUCGUUAAGACUCCUCCCUCUUGACAAAAUAAGUCUUUCUUAAAAUAAAACUGUUCUGAGGAAUAUUAAUCCUUUCCAGGGAAUUGUAAUUGGCGAUAGUGGCACGGGAAACGAGGUUUCGAUAAGGCUUCUUCAUCUUGACAUAAUAGGUCCCUCUUAGAAUUAACCUGGCCAAAGAGGAACGUUAGGUGUAGUCUCACUCCAAGGAAUUGUAAUAUAGCAAUAUUGGUAGGAAAGUAAGAGGCUCGGUAUAGUAGAGCAUUAAGCUUGAAACGGAAGGGUAAACUCUCACACACAAGUACGGAUAUGUAUGAAAAGCGUAUCGUUUACUUCAAUAGUGAUACUGCCGAAAAUAGGGGAACUGCUCCAUUAUUCAUCUCAGCCCGUAUAUUCAUCUCAUUCAACAUGUAAACACAAUUGAAAACAGGAAAAAACACAUAUUUUCUUCUUGAACCAAUCUGCUAAUCCAUGGAAUGGAUUCUUCUUAGUUCACUUUAGAUUCCUCAUAAAGUAUAAUCCUCAAAAACUCACUUAAAAGCACUGAAUUUGAUAUUAUAGUCGGGCAUCUGCACUUGAAAACUCAUUUAAUUCAAUCACCUAGGGUAAUCGCUCCAUUUUUCAUCUCAACAGCUUGGUGCACCUAUAUUCAUCUUAUUUCUCUCAUUUGUCCAAUUUACCGUCAAAUUUCUACAAAUUUUUUAAAUGAAAAUCUAUUUGCUUCUCGAUUUUCUCAAGUGGCUGAAAGUUUAACGUUGAAAAUAUGGUUAAAUUUGACGAUAAACUGAUCAAAAAGGCGUGAUGAGAUGAAUAUAGGUAUAGGUACUGAGAUGAAUAUAGGAGCAGUUACCCUACCUCAGAAAACAAAAUCCGCGCAUUGUUCUAUACGGCUACAACGGGACUCGUUCAGCAGCCAACCAAUGUUUUUUUCAUCACUAGCGGACCACUUUUUAUUUUAAUCACUAAACAAAAUCACUCACUACACUAAAAAUACUUUAAUCUUUGAAAUGUUCACCUCAAAUUUCCUAAAACAAGCUUGAAUUAGCAGAAAUAUAUGAGAUCAAUUUCUACAAUUCGUAAGUUUCAACUGUAUGUAUUCUCAUCUGUUUUCACUGCGUUGAAGAAAAUCAAGAGUUGCCAAAUCAGUUUCUGUUAAUACGAAAAAAUCAUACUGAAAAUGUUGAAUUAUUCCGACAUAAUGGACAUAAAUCUACAGCACUGUUGUGGUUACCUAGGUUACCUAUUUUAAUCUCGCUUAUUUUCCGUCGGUCUAGUUCCGCCACUGUUAUGGCCAAUCACCGACGCCCAGGAAGACGACUCCACACUCAGGACCCUAACUUACGACCCGUUUAUUAACGAACCGGCUCCAACGGCUUUACUUCCUCAUGCGAUGGAAGGCGUGAUCCCAGAGAUUUUUCGCUUCAGAAAAUCUCCCGUUGUCGGCUAGGAUUGAAUCUAGACCAGCUGGGUUGGUUGUGAGUGGAUCACGCCACCUCACAACCAUCGACACCUAUGUCGGCGGUGGGAUUCGAACCCAGGCGUCGAGCGUGGUUGGCGGAGACGUUACUAACCACACUAGGCCCCCGCUCAGGGUUACCUAUUUUGCACGUAAACAACUGCAGCGGAUAUCUAGGUAACUACUACGACGGGCUGCGGCUACGUUCAUUCAUUGUAAUGUGAUUCAUUCAUGAUUAACAGUGUGUUGAAUAUGGGGGCAUCGUGAUAUGAAUAAUUGAGCAGUGAUUCAAGUUUUGAAAUGGAUAUGGAAGCGUUGUGAAAAAUGGUUUGUUUUACAAAAUUCAGGAUAAAUCCAGCUAAUUUCACUAAAUAUACAAUGCUAAACGAUUCCAUAAGAGUACGUAAGCAUAUUUAGCUUAUUUGUUCAAUGAUUUCGUGAAAAUUUGGUGUUUAAUCCGUGCAUUCUUCGUGAAUAUCGGCUUAAUGAGAUGAAUAAUGGAGCAGUUCCCCUAUGAAGUGCGGAGUACAGAAAACACCUGGGCAAUGUCACAAUGGAUCAAAUGUCACUGUUCGCAGUGAUGAGUUCACACAGCAAAAAAAUUACGAGAAAUCAGCAAAAAAUAGUCGUGUUUGAAAAUGUUCUUCUUGAUAAUUCUGAUUGGUAUGACAUUCAUUGUGAAAUUUGACAAAAAGUUUAUUAUCGAUUUUGACAAAAAAACUAACUACAAAAAAUGAUGAUCAUUUGCAAUAUGAUCAAAUAUUCAAUAUGCGCAAAAUUUUCAGUGAAUUCCCGCAUAUUGAUCUCCAAAAAACUAAGUAUUCUAAAGAAAACUAAUCUGCAAAGUACCAAAUACUUAAUGAAAAACCAUAUACCAUAUAUUUGCUUUUAUAUUUAAUACGAAAUAUAGGCAAACAAAACGUCAGGCCGCGAGUAAUCUAUAGAAUUAGUGGGAGUACUUACAAAAAUCGCAGGAUAUUAACUGAUGCGCUGAAAAAAUAUAAAAAACUUAAUAUUCAAAAAUUUUGGAAUUCUAUUAAUUGGUAAUAUUUGGAAUUUACUAGUUUAUGAUGUUUAAAAAAAAUCAGGCUCUUCACCUAGUUGGAAGGCAAACUCUGGAAAUUUGAAUUAUGCUCUAGAAAUAUCUGUAUGAAAAAACACCUUCAAAAACAUAAGUAAUAAAAAUAUUACAAUCUGAAAAAGUGAACUGAAGAAAUCGGAAUGCGAUGAAGAAACACAAAUUAACCAAGUGAAACGAACAGCGAUCCAGCAAUGAAAUUGCCACGACAGAAUGUGUCAAUCUUGUUGAAAUUUUUGUGCAAUCCUCACAAAAUUAAACUUUUAAAGUGUAAUGUAAAACAUGAUUAAUUUUUCUCAGAUGUUCAUUCGAGUUUUUGUAACAGAAAAUUGAUUUAUGCAGUAUGUAGUGAUCAUAGCCAUGCAUACAAAAGGUGAUGGUGGUUUAGGAGUUCAAAAAAUAGAAUAUAGAUUUCUGUGCACGCUUGCUUAUAUCAACACCAGCGGCAUUAUAACUUGCUUAUAGCGACACUAGCGGCAUAAUUGCCCACUAAGCAAAAUUUUAAAAUAAUUGUUAUUUUUUGGGUCGAUGAGAUCAUCGUCGAGUGGCACAUCUGUUUGUCUGACAGGAAAAUAUACAAAUUGUUAUUUGCAGACGUAAAAUGUUCUUAAACUGGACUAAAUCGAUAAAAUUGUCACUAGGUUCACUGAAAUUAGAAAGUUUCGUAAACGUGUACACCACUCAAAGAAACAUAAGUAACAUUUUAACUCAUUGGAUAAUAUUUUCAAUGAUUCGUGCAUUGACUUUAUUCACAAUAUUAAAUUAUUUUUACAAUUACAAGCUUAUAACUACAUGUUCCUUUGCAACUAAUGCAGCAGGGCUACGAUGCCUGCAGCAGAGUGUAGUAUUUGACAUUAUCUACAAACUUCUACCUCCAUAGUUUCAAAGGCUAGACUAACGGUGAAACGCGAAUCUGACGCGAUGUGAGAAGGUAAUAAUGUAAGUCCCAGAGUCCAUCGGUUCUCAAGCGUUUCGGUAGUGUGGAAGAGGUUUCAAAAGACAAGAGUAAAGAAAUACCUAUUCGCCACGCAUAAAUCCAUUUUAAAACGGUCGUUCGUUUCAAAAGAAGGGAAUAGUGACGGCGGCCUUAGCACUAUAAACCGCAACACGGAGCGAAAAGAAAAACACUUCUUCCGUUCAUUUGUUCGUAGGCUGUGUGGCACGGAAUUGGCCAGAGUCCGGCCUGGUCUGUCGUGCUAUUCAGAGCUGUCGGAUCGAUGGAGUUAACCUCGCGCGUAGUUGAAUCCUCAACAACCGGUCCGGUCCACGCGUGAAUCCGCGCUAACAGUCAGCAGUAACGACCAGACCAGUUCUCCUGCGCGCGCGUCUACGUUCUUCUUCUUUUGCGCUCCGCGCCUCGGCAGCACUGCACGCGCUCGAGGCAGCUUUCCAAGCCCACGGAACGCCUAACAUGCUCGACAUCAAGAUGAGAGGUAAACAACUUUUUUGCUUCUCUGUUUCAUAGCCUCUUUCUUAAUUCUUUCCCUUCCACCCGUUGUCCUGUUAGUGCAGACUUUUUUUCUGAUGGCAAUAACACAGCCUCCACAUCGUCCUAUGGACAACGAUUUUACGUUUCUUGUAAUUGACUUGUAAAAUAAGCUUCAAGUUCGUAACAAACAAAAAGUGUACUAAUAUUUUUUCGGAAAAUAACGAUGAAUGAUAAAAAUAAUUUUAGAUGCGUAAAUGAGAAUUUUUUGGGUGAAAGUUUCCAGGAACUCUGGGUCAACGGCACCUAAUGAAAGGAGUUUUAUGCAUUGAUGUAACUCGUUUGCUAUCUGUUAUUCUACGUCGAGAAACUACCUAUAUAAUUUCGUUUUUAAAAGCAACAUGGUGAUUAUUUUUUGUUUCUGUUGUUAUUUUCACAGUAUCCAGAAUAAUUUUUUUCACGUACAUAUUGUUUGCUAUCAUGUACAUUAACAGAAUUCUUGUAAUUUUUUUUUUUUAUCUUGUCAGGUAAAAAACCGACUGUGUCUGUUUUCGAACUUGAUCCGAUUGUUCAUAAAUUUCGCAGACAGUCAAUUUGACUGCCGACAUGGUUUCAAAAACUUUUGAAACUGCUUGAAAUCAGACCCAGUCGUUUCACCUGUAAGAAGUGAAAUGACUGAGAAAACUGUCGUUAAAAUCAAAAUCUGAUCGCAAAGAGCUACGUUUUUUACUACAAAUAUUACCCAUUGAAAUGAUUAUUUUUUGCCCUGGUCGUUUGAUUAUGUUCAGUUUUUUUAAGGAGACGAAUGCGUUUUUGGUAAUCAAUUUUUUUAUCAAAAUACUGUUCAUCCUGGAAUCAAUUGGGUUGUUUAGCUAUUCACGGAUUUCUGAUUUUUAUAUAUCAACUAAAAAAGUGUAAUUUUCUGAGCAAAACGUGAUUUUUCAUAGUUUUAUAUCAUUGUCCUUCGAUUUUUAAAUGAAGAAUAAAAAUCGCUCGAAAUCGCUACAAUGUUAGUUGGUACAUGGGUGAACUGUCAUUGUGGCGAUUUCGAGUAAAUUUCGAGUAGUUUUAAUUCGUGAUUUAAUAAUUGAAGGACAACAAUAGAAAAUAUUUGAAAAUCAUUUUUUGCUUAGGAAAUGCAGCUCUUUUAGAUGAUAUAAAAACUGAUAUACUGCCGUAAUCUCGCAGACGUAAUUACGUAAGCGCCAUUUUUUUAAAAUAUGGGGUUCUUAUGCCAAUUUGUUCGUUAUUCGAAGACCCAUCUUUUGGUAUCUUUUUUUUAGUUGUUACUUGUUCGUACGUUGGACGUUGCGUCCAAGAAAACAAAAUGACGUAUGCACCAUUUCAAUACAAAAGGGACAAAUAUCCCGUUUGAUUUUGGGCUGUAUUGCAAAACUGAUCAAACAGAUGUACGUCAUAAUGUUAUAUCACGGCAGUAUAGCUAUACAACCCAAUUAAGAUAUCAUGCUGCUGCUGUUAAGUAAAGACUGUCGUAGUCGCUGUCCAGAACUAAUAUGACUAAUUUACACUGAUGCAGGCUUUUAUAUAGGCCAAAUAGUACAUUCCCGAUUUGCUUUAUAAUUCUGUCGACCGUACUUGGGAAAGUAAGCAUUAACCCUCUUGUGCCCGAUGCCGCCUUCAAUAAAUACUGCUUCAAUAAAUACUUAAAAAAUGUUUAUAAUGAUUCAUAGUGAUUUGUCCGUAGCCCGUCUAGAAAUUAACUUGGGCACUAGAGGGUUAAGCCACCAAUCAGAGGUCGAAUUUUGCGUUUGACAACGCUUGACCAUUUUCAAUAGUACAAUAUUUCGAAAAAUCAAAAUCAAUUUUAGGCAUUUGGUUUCCAAUCGACUGCUGCAAGAACGAAGAAAAACCAUUGAAAACAACCGAGUUAUCAGCAUUCAAAAUUGGACAUAUUUUCCACUAUUUCCGUUUUUAGAUUUUCAUUUUACAUCCUUAUGAUGCCGAACUUCCUGAGAGACAAAAAUUAACUUUCUUAAUAAUGUAAUCCCUAUGUUGGCAAGCGUUUCCUCCUACCAACGAAAAUAUGUAGAUAUAUAGCACCUUACACAAAUAACUCCAUUGCGAAUUUACCGUGUAAAAGCUCUGCUAGUUGGAUCGAUCGAAUUAUUUCCUUUCAGCCGUACCUACCGUUUGCGCCCUUACCAAUCAUCCGAAGCUGCAUGAGCCCGCGAUCGUCGUUUUUUUUUUUCAUACGAACUGCUUCAAGAAAACAUCAAAUAUAAGCUACCGCGUUACGCGUUUUGUUUUGCUUAAAGAAGAAGAAGAAGAAGAAAUAGUGGUGGCCAUUGUUGAGUCCAGGGAACACCAUAGAAGAAUGAAGUAAAAAAAUGAAAAGGCAAUGCAAACACAGAGAAAAAUAAAAUGUUAGUAUUGACCUUACACCCAUGGUUAUCGCAACAAUCACAGAAUUUUGUAGUUAUUACCAUAAUAAUUGUCACCUUGAAAUAGUUCAUGGUUGAAAAUACCAUGACAGUUAAAGAGCAGUAACCAUUUACAUUGUCAAAAAAACCCAAUCGCAGUGGUCAUAGCGACCAUGUUUUAUCUGGUGAUCAAAACUAUCGAUAUUUGCAAUAGAACUAGUUUACCGGUUAAAUUUACCUAAUCAUGUAGUCAUGCGAACAAACGUGUAAUAUUUUUCGAGCUGCAAUAUAUUCUGACACCGUAAUCUGAAACUGUCAAAACGUUGUCUGCAAAAAUUUUGCAUCAUCUCGUAGUUGCUCGAAAUCGAGAACAAUUUUCUCCUUAUCGGUCAUUUCUUAGUGUCUGUCAUUAGACAAAAUAUAAUCCCUGCUGUGGGCAUAAGAUUAGGUUUACCAGGCCCACAGCGAAAGCGCCGAUGUUUGUGAGUGAAAAAAAAAAUGAAAAAACAGAAGUGAAAUCUUUUGCUUUCGGGCAAGGCUGGUAACGAAACCUACUGAUAAGGAACCGUGCCGGGAUUUAACGAAAUUGUUCGAACAAGGCCCGAGUAGUGCAGGAGAAUGACGGCUGCCAGCGUUCAACCAUCAGAGCUGGUAACCACCGCUCAGCCACUAGUUGGGCUAUCCGGCUUGGAUGUGCACUAUAAAAUUAGUCGUUUUUGUUUUUUUUUUAAUUCUAGCGAAUCUAUAGAAUAUAAGCUUCUUACACCCAGUUAUGAAUUUGCUGUAUCAAAACCAAAACACCAAUCCUACGAAUGGUAUUACCAAAAAGGAAUCUUAAAACAAAACUGAAUGCUGAAACAUUUGCAUGUUUUGCCGGCAGUCGUAGCCCUGGUUCGGGAUCAAGAAUGGAACGAUCUACAGGGAUGUGAGAAGCAGUUGCAGUGUGCUUCGAUUAAUCAGGCGUAGAGAAACUAUAUACGGCUAGCGGUAGUUUUAAUUCAAAAAGGUGCUAGCAUACCUCAAGGAGAUGAUUUUGUUGCUUCCGAGAGGGCAUCCCACUUGACCAGCACCGGUGAGAUUACCGCAAAAAUGCUCUUCGUGCUUCCUCACAACGAUCAUAUAAUGAAUCGCAUACUAAGACUGCAAUCCGCCUUCCUGGAACAUGCUCAGUCUUACUGUAAUCAAAUAAUGAAGCAAAUUCGGUGAGACGAAUAUUCGGUUGAACACAUUGUUGAUCGUAUAAUAACUAAAUAAGCAAAUGGUUAUGUUUGAUGUUUAAAUUGUUAUUUUCGCUUAUUGACUGUUCAUGUAAGAAAAUAAUUUAAAAUUGUUCGAAAUAAUUAAUUUUGCGCUUAUUGAAUGGAGUACCCUGAUCCGUGGCGCACCUAAUUUUGUGCUUUUCGACUUGUCAACAAAAAAAUAAAUGUUCUUGAGAUUAUGGUUCGUGAGCAUAAUUGCAAAUUUUGUGUAGGAUUACAUUUUAAGUGCUUUUGCAAAGUAUGCAGUGCAUGCAAUUUUAUGCAAUGCGUAGAAAGAACGAGAACUGAAAAUGUGAAUUUGGCUCAAAAAAAAUAUACCUCAUCCAGACCGGACAUGAACCAUGAGUGGAGUUUGCGGUUCGUGUUCCGUCUGAAUGUGGUAAAUUCCUAUAUGAACCUGAGUCAUAUCCUCAGUUCUCGUUUACCCCCGUUCAUAAAACUUUAUGCACUGCACUUCUAUAUUAUUUCUAAUGUAACAUACUAUUCGGUGAGCCGAAUAUUCGGCAAAAUCCAUUUUUUGCUGAUAUUCGGUGCAUCUCUAGUAGACACCAACUGCCUCGAAGUCAAAACCAUAGCUGGUUUCGUGAGCUUCAAAAUUUGUCGCCUAUUUUCCAAACUCAAAGGAGAUUCAAUAGCUUCAAAAACCACGUCGUCAAAUAUCGCAACCGAACCAGUUCCAAGAAGCUGCUCUUCGAGCACUACGUCUGGCUGACUGUGCAGUACAGUGCCUCCGGUGGGUUGUUUUGCGACGCAGUCAAGAACGGGCUGGCGUCACUACAAACCCAACAUCCUGGUAUUUACUUCCACGAGGCGGUCGAAUAUGUAGGCAAGCCAAGGAGGCGUUUUUCAAUGUUCCGCACUGACCCCGAGCGAGACUCAAACCGGUGGCGCUGGGCAGGCUUCUUCCACAAAUUCUAACGUGAUGCUGUACAGUCACUUUUUCGGUAACGAGUCACGAAAACAGGUGAACCUGUCACCAAGCAACAAGUUAUCUACCUGGUACACGAGAUAGAGAAAACCCACAAACAUUCGGCAUCUAUCAUCACCCUACUAGGACAGGCUAUGGCUCAGUAUAAAGUUUACAAAUGUCUACGCUUUUACAAGACGCAGGCAAUCAAUAUGGCUGACGGAUAUCUGACAAGUGGAGAUCACUCGAAAGCGCUUACGCUCUACUCGCUCAUGCUGUCUGACGGGUGAACGAAAGGUACACGAUAUUCGCCAAAGUUCUGUUGAAAACAUUGCGGUCUGCAUAUCUUUCCGCAUCCCGAUGCCCGAUUUUGUGGCAUGCAGCAUUGAGGCGUUAUCGCCGCAAAUUGAAAUGGAAAAAACUGAUCGCAUUCUGGUAAUGGAAAACCUCUGCGAAGCAUUCCACAACGUGUCUCGGUGUCGAGUAGUCAAACCGCAUUGUCCUCUUUCAAUAAUCCCAUAAAACAUGACAUAGAUCGGUUGCACGACCUUAUAGAAUGCAAAAUAAGUUUCGAUAAACGACAGUUGAGGAACGACGAAAAACUGCAUCUCCAACUGUACGUUCGUUCCGUCGUAGAAGUUUCUUUGAAGUUGGAAACUUUUCCGUUUUGUUAACAGAUCUGAAGUCAAGUUCGAGUCGAGUGCCAGCAACUCAGUAUGGUGAAUAUGUGUUAGAGGAAAGCGAAGCUGGACAGGUACAGCCGAAGCCAAUAGAAGAAUUCAUACUAGAGCCCAAUAAAUGCUACCGUAUACUAUUUAGUGGAGAACGCUAUCAGUUUAUUGAGAAUGUUAACGUACAUAUUUUCCGCUUGGAAGUGCAAAUGGGAUCGGCCCGAACCAAGGCCAUUCUUUCGCUGCGCGAAAAACUGAACAUUCAGCGAGUAUUCGAACACUUCAAUCCGCAUCGUGACUGUUAGGAGAAAAUAUCGGUCAUCAGUUCGUGCUAUAUCAUUCCAACGCUUCAUCUUGGAUCACAGACCAAACUAAACAACCAACCAAUGUUGACAAAUAAGUUUUACAAAAUUACGACAAAAAUUAUGAACAACCACGAUCUCUGUCUGCAGAACGUUGGAAUCAGUUUCAGUAUGCCUCAAGCUUUACGGAGUAAUGAUUCCAAAAGCAUCAUACAGUAAACCACGCAGACAUCUUCCACCGAGCAUGUAUUCGAUAAUCUUAUAAGUGUCCUGGAGACAUACGGCCUACCGACUCGUUCUCGCGAAUCGUACAGAACGUUCGGAUAUCAUUCACGUUUCAGAUACUGAGAGCAAAAGAACAUCGGAAACUCUAAUGAAGUGUAGUGGUAUAAACAUACUUUUAGUACACCUAAAGGAAACCGGGUGUUGGGAAUCCAAACGUGUUUGGCGUGGCUCGUAAUAAACCAUCCCAGACUAAGCUGACAGCAUUUUGCGUUUUGUUGAGGUAGAAAUAACUGAAGGCACAUCUGCUGAUAUGGUACCGAAAUCCGACACCAAUGCUUGAAUCGCUUCCAACCUUGACAUCUCUAAUUCGAACUACAGAUUAGUUAUAAAGUUAGUUAUAGUUAUAAUAAAACUAAGCAUAAAAACUAGGGACAUUGUACAUUUCAACUAAAAGUGCUGCCACACGAUGCACAGUGGCAUAGUUUCCUCUGGCAGACGUGAUAGAUUUCUAUGUCAUAGUUUUUAUGGAAUAUAAGAAACAAUUCUUUCAUAUAGUAUGAACUAUAACGUAAAAAGCAUAAACAAUUAGCGAGAGCGCUAAACAGUAGACUGCCAAAUAAUCUAUAACAUAGAGCGGUCAGGACGAAAUAGUGCCUAGUCACCAGGUUAUAGUUUUUUGAUAGUCUACAUUUUGGACUUUACGAACUAAUCUCAUUUUUGUCAUAUGACUUACAUUUUUUAAAGUUUAGUAAAGCGGACAAUGUAUGUAGUUUUUCGAAAAUGCGAAAAUGAACGAGAAUAGAAGGUGUGAACCCGCAAUCUCCGUUGUCUCCGGCAAGGUGUUUUGGCCAAUUAAACUACUGGGAAAGAUAUAACUCAUUCUGAGCCAAAGUCGAAUCACCCUCUACUAUUGUGUUCCCGUAUCCCAGCAUGCCACGAUGAACUGCAGUAAAAUUUUCUAAGACUAAAAGUCACACCUUCUAUUCUCGUUCAUUUUCACAUUCUCGAAAAACUACAUACAUUGCCCGCUUUACUACAUUUUAGAGCUUUCACUUUUUUAAGGUCAUGGUUGUCCAAAAUUCCAAAAAAAAUAACAGAAAUAUAUCACGUCUGUCAUAGGAAACUAUAAGGGAACUAUAUAAACAUAACAAAAACAAUUCAGUUUAAUUCUAAGUUCAGAAUACAAUAUUUUAUAUAUUAUA